Molecule: ribosomal RNA, 832 nt
Filed under: uncultured Flavobacteriia bacterium
Lineage: Bacteria; Pseudomonadati; Bacteroidota; Flavobacteriia
Description: bacterial SSU rRNA
Rfam family: Bacterial small subunit ribosomal RNA
Source: RNAcentral
CUUUGUAGCAAUACAGAGGCUGGCGACCGGCAAACGGGUGCGGAACACGUACGCAACCUUCCUUUAACUGGAGAAUAGCCCCUCGAAAGAGGGAUUAAUACUCCGUAACAUCCCGAUAUGGCAUCAUAAUGGGAUUAUAGCUCCGGCGGUUAAAGAUGGGCGUGCGCCUGAUUAGAUAGUUGGUAGGGUAACGGCCUACCAAGUCUGCGAUCAGUAACUGGUGUGAGAGCACGACCAGUCACACGGGCACUGAGACACGGGCCCGACUCCUACGGGAGGCAGCAGUAAGGAAUAUUGGUCAAUGGACGCAAGUCUGAACCAGCCAUGCCGCGUGGAGGAUUAAGGCCCUCUGGGUUGUAAACUCCUUUUAUCUGGGAAGAAAUUCUUACAUUCUUGUAAGAUUGACGGUACCAGAGGAAUAAGCACCGGCUAACUCCGUGCCAGCAGCCGCGGUAAUACGGAGGGUGCAAGCGUUAUCCGGAUUCACUGGGUUUAAAGGGUGCGUAGGCGGGCAGGUAAGUCCGUGGUGAAAUCUCUGAGCUUAACUCAGAAACUGCCAUGGAUACUAUUUGUCUUGAAUAUUGUGGAGGUAAGCGGAAUAUGUCAUGUAGCGGUGAAAUGCUUAGAUAUGACAUAGAACACCAAUUGCGAAGGCAGCUUACUACACAGUAAUUGACGCUGAGGCACGAAAGCGUGGGGAUCAAACAGGAUUAGAUACCCUGGUAGUCCACGCCCUAAACGAUGAUUACUCGACAUCAGCGAUACACUGUUGGUGUCUGAGCGAAAGCAUUAAGUAAUCCACCUGGGAAGUACGAUCGCAAGAUUGAAACUC